RNAcentral lists this ribosomal RNA (492 nucleotides) under uncultured bacterium. Its description in RNAcentral is "partial 16S ribosomal RNA". It matches the Rfam family "Bacterial small subunit ribosomal RNA", at positions 29 to 507 of the family's 1533-position model. The record is from RNAcentral.
AGUGAACGCUGGCGGUAGGCCUAACACAUGCAAGUCGAACGGCAGCACAGUAAGAGCUUGCUCUUACGGGUGGCGAGUGGCGGACGGGUGAGGAAUACAUCGGACUCUACUUUUUCGUGGGGGAUAACGUAGGGAAACUUACGCUAAUCCCGCAUACGACCUACGGGUGAAAGCAGGGGAUCUUCGGACCUUGCGCGAUUGAAUGAGCCGAUGUCGGAUUAGCUAGUUGGCGGGGUAAAGGCCCACCAAGGCGACGAUCCGUAGCUGGUCUGAGAGGAUGAUCAGCCACACUGGAACUGAGACACGGUCCAGACUCCUACGGGAGGCAGCAGUGGGGAAUAUUGGACAAUGGGCGCAAGCCUGAUCCAGCCAUACCGCGUGGGUGAAGAAGGCCUUCGGGUUGUAAAGCCCUUUUGUUGGGAAAGAAAAGCAGCAGGUUAAUACCCCGCUGUUCUGACGGUACCCAAAGAAUAAGCACCGGCUAACUUCGUG